Molecule: signal recognition particle RNA, 97 nt
Filed under: Tessaracoccus antarcticus
Lineage: Bacteria; Bacillati; Actinomycetota; Actinomycetes; Propionibacteriales; Propionibacteriaceae
Description: Bacterial small signal recognition particle RNA
Rfam family: Bacterial small signal recognition particle RNA
About the family: The signal recognition particle (SRP) is a universally conserved ribonucleoprotein involved in the co-translational targeting of proteins to membranes. Archaeal SRP consists of a 7S RNA and homologues of the eukaryotic SRP19 and SRP54 proteins. In most bacteria, the SRP consists of a 4.5S RNA and the Ffh protein (a homologue of the eukaryotic SRP54 protein).
Source: Rfam by way of RNAcentral
UUUGGUUCCUCGCGCGGCAGUAACUCGCCCAACUCCCCCAGGGUCGGAAGGCAGCAAGGGUAAGUGAGCUCUUCUGGGUGCGCGAGGGGCCUUUUUU